Molecule: small nuclear RNA, 106 nt
Organism: Hevea brasiliensis (rubber tree)
Lineage: Eukaryota; Viridiplantae; Streptophyta; Magnoliopsida; Malpighiales; Euphorbiaceae
Source: RefSeq, a predicted model, not a curated record
AUAAACAAUUUAUAUAUACAUCAUACUAAAAUCUACAUUCAGAGAAGAUUAGCAUGGCCCCUGCGCAAGGAUGACAUGCACAAAUCGAGAAAUGGUCCAAAUUUUU